GCGUUUUUCAUGGGCGCAGCCUGAUGCAGCCAUGCCGCGUGUAUGAAGAAGGCCUUCGGGUUGUAAAGUACUUUCAGUCGUGAGGAAGGCGGCGUCGUUAAUAGCGGCGUUGUUUGACGUUAGCGACAGAAGAAGCACCGGCUAACUCCGUGCCAGCAGCCGCGGUAAUACGGAGGGUGCGAGCGUUAAUCGGAAUUACUGGGCGUAAAGCGCAUGCAGGUGGUUUGUUAAGUCAGAUGUGAAAGCCCGGGGCUCAACCUCGGAAUAGCAUUUGAAACUGGCAGACUAGAGUACUGUAGAGGGGGGUAGAAUUUCAGGUGUAGCGGUGAAAUGCGUAGAGAUCUGAAGGAAUACCGGUGGCGAAGGCGGCCCCCUGGACAGAUACUGACACUCAGAUGCGAAAGCGUGGGGAGCAAACAGGAUUAGAUACCCUGGUAGUCCACGCCGUAAACGAUGUCUACUUGGAGGUUGUGGCCUUGAGCCGUGGCUUUCGGAGCUAACGCGUUAAGUAGACCGCCUGGGGAGUACGGUCGCAAGAUUAAAACUCAAAUGAAUUGACGGGGGCCCGCACAAGCGGUGGAGCAUGUGGUUUAAUUCGAUGCAACGCGAAGAACCUUACCUACUCUUGACAUCCAGAGAACUUUCCAGAGAUGGAUUGGUGCCUUCGGGAACUCUGAGACAGGUGCUGCAUGGCUGUCGUCAGCUCGUGUUGUGAAAUGUUGGGUUAAGUCCCGCAACGAGCGCAACCCUUAUCCUUGUUUGCCAGCGAGUAAUGUCGGGAACUCCAGGGAGACUGCCGGUGAUAAACCGGAGGAAGGUGGGGACGACGUCAAGUCAUCAUGGCCCUUACGAGUAGGGCUACACACGUGCUACAAUGGCGCAUACAGAGGGCGGCCAACUUGCGAAAGUGAGCGAAUCCCAAAAAGUGCGUCGUAGUCCGGAUUGGAGUCUGCAACUCGACUCCAUGAAGUCGGAAUCGCUAGUAAUCGUGGAUCAGAUGCCACGGUGAAUACGUUCCCGGGCCUUGUACACACCGCCCGUCACACCAUGGAGUGGGCUGCAAAGAAGUAGGUAGUUUAACCUUCGGGGGACGCUUACCACUUUGUGGUUCAUGACUGGGGUGAGUGCA
This 1129-nucleotide ribosomal RNA is filed under the name Vibrio sp. RNAcentral describes it as "bacterial SSU rRNA". It matches the Rfam family "Bacterial small subunit ribosomal RNA", at positions 359 to 1488 of the family's 1533-position model. Lineage: Bacteria; Pseudomonadati; Pseudomonadota; Gammaproteobacteria; Vibrionales; Vibrionaceae. The record is from RNAcentral.